Molecule: ribosomal RNA, 440 nt
Filed under: uncultured bacterium
Lineage: Bacteria
Description: bacterial SSU rRNA
Rfam family: Bacterial small subunit ribosomal RNA
Source: RNAcentral
AACGCGAAGAACCUUACCAAGUCUUGACAUCCCUCUGAAUCCUCUAGAGAUAGAGGCGGCCUUCGGGACAGAGGAGACAGGUGGUGCAUGGUUGUCGUCAGCUCGUGUCGUGAGAUGUUGGGUUAAGUCCCGCAACGAGCGCAACCCUUGAUUUUAGUUGCCAGCACGUAACGGUGGGCACUCUAGAAUGACUGCCGGUGACAAACCGGAGGAAGGCGGGGAUGACGUCAAAUCAUCAUGCCCCUUAUGACUUGGGCUACACACGUACUACAAUGGCCAGUACAACGGGAGGCGAAGGAGCGAUCCGGAGCGAAUCCUAUCAAAGCUGGUCUCAGUUCGGAUUGCAGGCUGCAACCCGCUGCAUGAAGUCGGAAUUGCUAGUAAUCGCGGAUCAGCAUGCCGCGGUGAAUACGUUCCCGGGCCUUGUACACACCGCACGA